This 422-nucleotide ribosomal RNA is filed under the name uncultured bacterium. RNAcentral describes it as "bacterial SSU rRNA". It matches the Rfam family "Bacterial small subunit ribosomal RNA", at positions 355 to 774 of the family's 1533-position model. The record is from RNAcentral.
UGAGGAAUAUUGGGCAAUGCCCGCAAGGGUGACCCAGCAACGCCGCGUGGAGGAUGAAUGUCGUAAGAUUGUAAACUCCUGUUAGAGGGGAAGAAUAACUAAGUUUGGAGCUUAGUAUGACUGUACCCUCAGAGAAAGCCCCGGCUAACUACGUGCCAGCAGCCGCGGUAAUACGUAGGGGGCAAGCGUUGUCCGGAUUUACUGGGUGUAAAGGGCGCGCAGGCGGAAUGGAAAGUCAGUGGUGAAAUCCUACAGCUUAACUGUAGAACUGCCUUUGAUACUUUCAUUCUUGAGUUCGGGAGAGAGAGACGGAAUUCCAGGUGUAGUGGUGAAAUACGUAGAUAUCUGGAAGAACACCAGUUGCGAAGGCGGUCUCUUGGUCCGAUACUGACGCUGAGGCGCGAAAGCGUGGGGAGCAAACA